Molecule: ribosomal RNA, 435 nt
Filed under: uncultured bacterium
Lineage: Bacteria
Description: partial 16S ribosomal RNA
Rfam family: Bacterial small subunit ribosomal RNA
Source: RNAcentral
AAUGAACGCUGGCGGCAGGCCUAAUACAUGCAAGUCGAACGAAUGCCUUAGGGCCUGAGUGGCAGACGGGUGACUACCGCCUGGGAACCUACACCUUGGUAAGCGAUAGCUACGGGAAACUGGAGAUAAUACCGCCUGUGUUCUGAGGGACAAAGAUUCAUCGCCACGGGAUGCGCUAGCGUCGGAUUAGUUAGCUGUUGGGGUAACGGCCUACCAAGGCGACGAUCCGUAGCUGGUCUAAGAGGAUGGUCAGCCACAUUGGGACUGAGACACGGCCCAAACUCCUACGGGAGGCAGCAGUGGGGAAUAUUGGACAAUGGGCGCAAGCCUGAACCAGCCAUGCCGCGUGAGUGAUGAAGGCCCUAGAGUUGUAAAGCUCUUGCACCGGUGACGGUAAUGACGGUAACCGAAGAAGAAGCCCCGGCUAACUUCGUG